This 527-nucleotide ribosomal RNA is filed under the name uncultured organism. Its description in RNAcentral is "SSU rRNA". It matches the Rfam family "Bacterial small subunit ribosomal RNA", at positions 505 to 1031 of the family's 1533-position model. The record is from RNAcentral.
GUGCCAGCCGCCGCGGUAAUACGUAGGGUGCGAGCGUUGUCCGGAAUUACUGGGCGUAAAGAGCUCGUAGGUGGUUUGUCGCGUUGUUCGUGAAAUCUCACGGCUUAACUGUGAGCGUGCGGGCGAUACGGGCAGACUAGAGUACUGCAGGGGAGACUGGAAUUCCUGGUGUAGCGGUGGAAUGCGCAGAUAUCAGGAGGAACACCGGUGGCGAAGGCGGGUCUCUGGGCAGUAACUGACGCUGAGGAGCGAAAGCGUGGGGAGCGAACAGGAUUAGAUACCCUGGUAGUCCACGCCGUAAACGGUGGGUACUAGGUGUGGGUUUCCUUCCUUGGGAUCCGUGCCGAAGCUAACGCAUUAAGUACCCCGCCUGGGGAGUACGGCCGCAAGGCUAAAACUCAAAGGAAUUGACGGGGGCCCGCACAAGCGGCGGAGCAUGUGGAUUAAUUCGAUGCAACGCGGAGAACCUUACCUGGGUUUGACAUGCACAGGACGCGUCUAGAGAUAGGCGUUCCCNUGUGGCCUGU